Molecule: long non-coding RNA, 1567 nt
Filed under: Homo sapiens (human)
Lineage: Eukaryota; Metazoa; Chordata; Mammalia; Primates; Hominidae
Description: HSALNT0403576
Source: RNAcentral
UUCUGAUUUGCAUUUCUCUAAUGAUCAGUGAUGUUGAGAUUUCUUUUUCAUGUGAUUGUUGGUUGCAUGUAUACCUUCUUUGGUUCUUUUGGUUUUAUAUGAAUUUUGAAAUAAAUUUUGGACAAUUUGUUUAUACUGUGUGUGUGUCCAGUUGUGAUUGGAAUAUAUUGUAGAAACUCAAGUAAAUAUCUUCUAAUGACUCAAUGAAUUGAUUUAUUUGGGAUGCUUUAUAAAAAGUAUAACUUUUUCCUAAUGCAGAAUGUCCUAGUAGAAAUAAAAAAAUACAGUAUAUCAAUAAUUCCUAGCAUUCCCAAGGAAGGAAACAAGUAAUCGUAUUAAGUAAAAUGAUAAAAUAAUACAAGUCUUAAUGUUGAUGCCCAACAUCAAGCCAUUUUUAAGAAUCACAAGCAGUGCAGCAGUAUUAUUGCUGAUGCUUUAAAGCUGAGCCAUAUUUUCUUAGAUAUUUAUAGGAUGGCUUUGUAGGUAAAAUACAGGAGUAAAUACCUGUGCUAGGUUGUUUUAUCGUGCAGUUAUUCAUUCUUCCUUUCCUGUAAGAAAAUUAUACAUUGUUGCUCAUUGACAUCAGGCUUAAGGGGCCCCUUAUGGACAGAAUAUAUAUUCUCUGCUCCAUUGAUGUUUGACCUGACUAUGUGAUGUGCUUUAGUCAAUGGAAUAAAUGUAGGCACGAUGUAUACUGUUUUUGAGAAGAAACUUUAAAAGGUACUAAUGAAAUUUCUUUGCCUGUUUGUUUCUGCCUUCUGUAUGGGUCCUGGAAUAAAAAUAUAUGGAUGAGGAUUGCAGCUGACUUCAGCCUACAUGCAGUUUGAAUAUGAAACAGAUUCCAUACCCCUUCAGGAGGCACACGUUAUCUUCUGUGGCCUGACUCCUACCAUAUCAGUGUACUGUCACCCAGAAAACUGUUAUAGAAGAUGUCCGAGCAUAUGGAAAAGAACCUUGAACAUGGAACAAGGAGACACGGGUUCAGCCUCUGGGCAAAUAAUUGAACUGGCACAACAAAGAAAAAGAUGUCGGAAAUUGUUCAUCAAAAAACUGAGUGCUUAUCUAUGAGUAUGAAGAUUUCAUUAAUUAAUCUUAUAUGUUAUACUUUUUCACAUUACUUGAAUAUUGUUCAUAAUUGCAUACUAUCUUUAUAAUAUAAUAAAAUAUUUUCAUUUUCAAAUAUUUAACAAUUUAAACAAAUGUAAGCAAAAUAUUAAAAAUAACUUGACAUUAGUACGUGGAAUUGGGGCAAUUGCAUAAGUUUUCUCAUUCAAACAUUCAUAUAAGUACUUGAAAUCAUGAAUACAAGCAUAUUAACACUAGAGAUUUUAGAAUUCCUCCAUUAUUUCCCUAGUUUUCUAGCUAUGAUUUGAUCAAACUGUGUUUAUAAGUUCCUUUAUAUUAAAUUUAGGUGGUAAGCUAGAUUUAAAUCUUUUUGGAGAAAAAUUGUUAUUUGAUAUUAAAUGUAAUUAUUUAUUUCACUGGAAAUAUAAAAUAUAUAGCCUUCCAAGUAACAAAGGGUAAUGAAUUUAUUGUUUAAAGAGAAACGUAAAUACAGAAAAUAAAA